AACUCAAAGGAAUUGACGGGGGCCCGCAACAAGCGGAGGAACAUGUGUUAAUUCGAUGAUACGCGAGGAACCUACCCGGGCUUGAACUGCAGCGGAAGGAUACAGAGAUGUUGACGCCCUUCGGGCCGCUGUGGAGUGCUGCAUGUGUCGUCAGCUCGUGCCGUGAGGUGUCGGCUUAAGUGCCAUAACGAGCGCAACCCCUUUCUUCAGUUGCCAUCAGGUCGAGCUGGGCACUCUGGAGACACUGCCACCGUAAGGUGUGAGGAAGGUGGGGAUGACGUCAAAUCAGCACGGCCCUUACGUCCGGGGCUACACACGUGUUACAAUGGGUGGUACAGAGAGUUAGUGCAAUGCAAAUUGUAUUCAAUCAUGAAAGCCAUCCUCAGUUCGGAUUGGGGUCUGCAACCCGACCCCAUGAAGCUGGAUUCGCUAGUAAUCGCGCAUCAGCCAUGGCGCGGUGAAUACGUUCCCGGGCCUUGUACACACCGCCCGUCAAGCCAUGAAAGCCUGGGGCGCCUGAAGUCCGUGACCGCGAGGGUCGGCCUAGGGUGAAACAGGUGAUUGGGGCU
Molecule: ribosomal RNA, 569 nt
Filed under: uncultured rumen bacterium
Lineage: Bacteria
Description: bacterial SSU rRNA
Rfam family: Bacterial small subunit ribosomal RNA
Source: RNAcentral